Long non-coding RNA from Cyprinus carpio (common carp), 2124 nucleotides. The record is from Ensembl. NCBI's taxonomy places the organism in Eukaryota, Metazoa, Chordata, Actinopteri, Cypriniformes, Cyprinidae.
AAGAAUGUCUGGCCCUUGCAGAGGAUGUAAAUUACAUGGGUUUUAAAUACCUACCAAUUCAAAAAAUUGGCCAGGCUUGCCUGGAGGAGGACCAACAUCUUGAGGCCAUCGUCAAGGCCCAACACUGCAGGCAGACACUAACAAGGAUAAAGACCGCGAUGGAGGCCAACUGGUCCUAUUACAACCUCGCUACGCAUGGCCUUGGGCCAGAAAUGUUGAAGGGUGCGUUUUCUUUAAUUGAUGCGUGCCUGGUCGAGGCAGAGAACCUCCACUGCCUCCAGAAGUAAAUAAAGCAUGUCAAUUUUAAAGUGGUAUCAGCAUUUAUGGGUAGCCUUGACAAAGGAAUAGUCUUUAUGGUUUACUGAGUAAACCACUUUGGACAAUAUAGAUGUGAUUUAACCCUUGUUUUGACUUCGGGUGAAAUUGACCCGUUUUCAAUUUUUGUUUUAUAUCAGAAAAUAUGGGACGUAGAAAUAAGCACUGAAAAUGUGUAAAAGAAAUAAUUUAAAACGUUGGAAAAAGCAAAAACAAACUGUGAAAAAAUGGCGUCAAACGUUGAAGAAAGUGUUUUUUUUUUUAUCUCAAGGUUGACGAGAAGACAACAAAAGGGUGAAAACAUAAUUUGCCAAAUACAUGUUAAGUUAAACCAUAAGAAUGUAUGGAAAGUCUUGGUUUUGGACUGAGAAUGUAUCAAAGUUAUAAAGCAAUUUUCUUUAUUUGUAAUUGUGAGUACAUUUUUCUUGGGGAUCAAUACUUUUACUGAAUUACGGGACCUGUGUACUUCACCACUCUGCUGGUAUAAUUUACAUUUCAUAUUGGUAAAACACUACUAUUGCUUCUGCCAUUAAUGUAAGUCUAUAUAUUUCCCAAAACUUCAUAAAACUUUGAUUUAAUUAUCAGUAUUUUAUUUACCUGAUCAACUACCAAGAAAAUUCAUCAACCAAACAAGACAGGCGCUUUCACAUGCAAACAAUGGCACCUCCAGAAUAACAGAAUUAAGUUCUUCUUGCUCUUCUUUUGUUUUUAAAGUUCUCAACUACUGCUCUCUGCAGUCUAGCUUUUUUAAUUUUUUUACGGUAACCAUGUAAAGGGGUAAUUUUCCUUUUUCUGGACACAACAGUGAAUUUUCCAAAAGCCAGCUUGUGUGCUCUUUGGAUGGUAUUGUACAGUUCAGGGGUAUGUUCAAAUGCUUCGGAGUUGCUCCACUGUAGUAGGUCUGAUAACAUGGACUGUAUGGGAGGAUUCCCAUGGGAGGCUUCAGACACUUGUGCAUUUUCUUUGGGGUCUGUGAGAAUGUCUUGAGGCUUGAGGACAUGUGUGACAUGUAUGCAAACACAUCUUUCUCCAAAACUAUUAGCAAUGCAUGUGCACAAAGUCGGAGUUUUCCUAUUCACAAUACUCAUAGUCCCAUCACUAUUGAAGAUGGUUAUUUCAUCUUCAGUCUGCUGAUAGAGACGGAGGCUGAUGAUUUCUAGCGCUUUAUUAUUCCGCAUUUUUUCAAUGUCAAUACCUCUCCUGCCUACCUCCAUCUUCACCAAGAGAAGAUGUUUGCAUAUGUUUCCCAUCCGGAAAUUGGUGCAUUCACACGUGAAGUGUAACAAGUUAACUUUGUAGGCUGUGUUGGUUGACUGUGACGGCACAAAGCACUGCCUCGCUUCUAUGUCCAAAUCUUUUCCCACACCAUUUUUAAAUAGCAGCGCAGCAGCCUGGUGAGCAGCAGAGCUGGAUAAUGUCAGUCAUCCUGCUUCGCUGAGGCCAUCCAUGUAGCUGCAGUAAUGAAAAACAAGACACAAAUUUGGAAUUACAGUAAAAUAGUAGCCUUUGCCUCAGAUAGGACAGUGGGGAGUGACAGGACACCAGUGUGUGAGAGUGUGCCCUAGCUAGCUGCAACACAGGUAAGGGCACCAUCACAAACUUUUUAAUGGCACACAUUUUGCAUAUUCUGAUUGGAUGGCCAAUAACUUAUGCAAUACCAUAAACUCAUAACCAUACUGUAUAUUGGCCCUUAUUGUUGGAUAGAUUUUAGCUAAAUGCAAGUUUUAUUGUGUAGUCAUUGCCAUGGUGAUUGUUUUUUUAGUGCAACAGCUCAAUAAAAAAAUUAAUUCACUGUUAAGACUGUGAGAG